UACGUAGGGUGCAAGCGUUGUCCGGAUUUAUUGGGUUUAAAGGGUGCGUAGGUGGCUUUUUAAGUCAUGGGUGAAAGCCCGCAGCUCAACUGUGGAAUUGCCUGUGAUACUGAGGAGCUUGAGUGCGGUUGAGGCAGCUGGAAUUGGUGGUGUAGCGGUGAAAUGCAUAGAUACCACCAGGAACACCGAUUGCGAAGGCAGAUGGCUAAGCCGUAACUGACGCUGAGGCACGAAAGCGUGGGGAGCAAACAGG
RNAcentral lists this ribosomal RNA (253 nucleotides) under uncultured bacterium. RNAcentral's name for it is "partial 16S ribosomal RNA". It matches the Rfam family "Bacterial small subunit ribosomal RNA", at positions 524 to 776 of the family's 1533-position model. The record is from RNAcentral.